UGGGGAAUAUUGCACAAUGGGCGCAAGCCUGAUGCAGCCAUGCCGCGUGUAUGAAGAAGGCCUUCGGGUUGUAAAGUACUUUCAGCGGGGAGGAAGGCGAUAAGGUUAAUAACCUUGUCGAUUGACGUUACCCGCAGAAGAAGCACCGGCUAACUCCGUGCCAGCAGCCGCGGUAAUACGGAGGGUGCAAGCGUUAAUCGGAAUUACUGGGCGUAAAGCGCACGCAGGCGGUCUGUCAAGUCGGAUGUGAAAUCCCCGGGCUCAACCGGGGAACUGCAUUCGAAACUGGCAGGCUAGAGUCUUGUAGAGGGGGGUAGAAUUCCAGGUGUAGCGGUGAAAUGCGUAGAGAUCUGGAGGAAUACCGGUGGCGAAGGCGGCCCCCUGGACAAAGACUGACGCUCAGGUGCGAAAGCGUGGGGAGCAAACA
Molecule: ribosomal RNA, 427 nt
Filed under: uncultured bacterium
Lineage: Bacteria
Description: partial 16S ribosomal RNA
Rfam family: Bacterial small subunit ribosomal RNA
Source: RNAcentral